This 433-nucleotide ribosomal RNA is filed under the name uncultured bacterium. RNAcentral's name for it is "partial 16S ribosomal RNA". It matches the Rfam family "Bacterial small subunit ribosomal RNA", at positions 29 to 507 of the family's 1533-position model. The record is from RNAcentral.
AACGAACGCUGGCGGCAUGCCUAACACAUGCAAGUCGAACGAGACCUUCGGGUCUAGUGGCGCACGGGUGCGUAACGCGUGGGAACCUGCCCUUAGGUUCGGAAUAACUCCCCGAAAGGGGUGCUAAUACCGGAUAAUGUCUUCGGACCAAAGAUUUAUCGCCUUUGGAUGGGCCCGCGUUUGAUUAGCUAGUUGGUAUGGUAAAAGCCUACCAAGGCGACGAUCCAUAGCUGGUCUGAGAGGAUGAUCAGCCACACUGGGACUGAGACACGGCCCAGACUCCUACGGGAGGAAGCAGUGGGGAAUAUUGGACAAUGGGCGAAAGCCUGAUCCAGCAAUGCCGGGUGAGUGAUGAAGGCCUUAGGGUUGUAAAGCUCUUUUACCCGGGAUGAUAAUGACAGUACCGGGAGAAUAAGCUCCGGCUAACUCCGUG